CAGGCAAACCAAAACAGAAUGUAUGCAGAGAAUGAUAGUCUAAUGCUCAAGAGUGAAAAUGGCAGAACAGACAGCAGCAAGGGCAAGGGCUUCCCUACCAAAGACAGCAGAAACUGAAACUUUAGCCGAAGUAGCAGACCAUAUGACGGUGGCAGUUGUGGAAUAUACAAACCAGAGUGUGUAUAUUGGAGAAAUGGAGGGAAACAUGAUGACCUUUGCCCGUCGGCCAGUCGGAAAACUAACAAGUUCUCUCAACGUAAAAAAUAAACAGAGCGUGAUUUUGAAACCCUUGGACAAAAUGAAAAUUAAUCGUCGAUUUUUAAUUGCAAAAUUCGAAGGAUGUAAGAAAGACAACGUAAUACAAUUAUCGGAAAUUCAGAUUCAACUUAUAAAUCAGUCCGUAGCUUCGUAUUGUUCCAAACAAGCUUCAGACAUCCAAAACCUCAUAUAUUUGGUAUGAUCACAAAUAUCAGAUAACAGUGUGCCUGUACAUAUCUUUUAAACCUUGUUUUUGUAUUUCAGUAAGCUUACAUUGUGUUUACAUUUUGUAAAUAUUUGUACAUUUUAUGAUUGAGUUAUUUUUUUAUAUACUUUUGCUUUGCCUUAAAGCCUAUUUUAUUUUAGUAAGUAAAUAAUUCAAGUUUCAUUUUUUGAACAGAGAGAAUCGGUCAAUGGCGAAGUCGGGAAUCUAGUCUUGGUCUCUCGAGAGCCAUUCCAGUAUGCUAAGCUCUUACACUACAUAACUAAUUAUUAAAGUUCUUCCUGUGAUUUCUGUGAUGGAGUUUUUUUUAUUUAUCCACUCCUCUGUGCAUAACGCCUGACAUAUUUGAGAAAGUGCCGUCUUUGGUAUUCAUGAAAUAUUACAUUUAUACCCUUUAUUGUCACUUGAUAACAGUUCGAAGGCCAUCAUGCUUUGGCUCAUCUACUUUGUGUUUAUUAUAUUUUUUUUUUCAUUUUUUUUUUCAUAAUUUGAUUGUAUGAAAUACCCCUUCUUACAACAACAUUUGUGUCCAGCAUAAGCUGACUCAGAGUCUGAUAUAGUGACAUCCUUGUAGGAAAUAUAAAUCCACUUUUAAAUGUUUGCUAUAGGUUGUUUAGCAUAUACUAUAAAGUAUUCCGAUCAAGAACAUGUCUUGUAAAUGACGAGAACGAAUGAUAGAAGUAUUAUUAUUUUCUUGAAUAGAUAACUUUAAGCAGAUACUUUAGGUUUAUUUUAAUGAUAUGGAAAGAAAUAUAGAACAAUAAAAAAGUAUUGAACCUGCUCCAUGUUUACUGAUGGAACAUUCACCAAUUAUGUUAAUCAUGUUCUCGAUGACUUUUUUUAUUUAAGCAUACUUUAAAUGUACUGUUCAUAACAUACACUAAGUUGUUUGUCAUUCACGUUGUGAAUAAAUUGUUUAAAACUGUAUAUGUGUUAUAACCGAAAAAUGUUCAAUACUGCUAUUCAUUUAAAUGCCCCAGUCUGAGAGGCAAAUAGAUUUCACUUGUCUGUCUGUUCGUCGGUUCAUUCAGCUGUCACAAAACAUUUUGUCACACGUAUCUCCGGCAGUAAAUUAGCAAGAGUCGUAAAACCAGCAUGUCUAGUUUUGCAUCUUAAGUUCUAUUUGUCUGUUGGCUGUUUGUAUGUUUGUCAAAUAAUCAUAUUUGUAUUUCACUUCAUCUGGUAACAUCCCCGAAUUGUUUUGGUUAUGUUACCAAACCUUUCAAGAUUUAGUUGGUAAUAUUCCCAGAAAUAUAUUUAACUCUGUCAAUAAAUGUGAGCUGGUUAAGCUCUGCGAUUAUGUUAAAGAAUCAGUAUGUAUUCGUAAUGUUAUUCCUAAUAAUAAUUAUUAUUAUUAUUAAUUUAGUUCAUCCUCUGAUACUGCUGCCUUUACGUUAACAUAUUUGUGUCUUUAACCAUAGCACUAACCAUGUACAAGCAUUUGAUAUCAAAAACCUAAGUGUAUGUGUUUAGACGAUGUUCUGAUGUAUAUGACUUAUAAACGUCUGUUCUGUUCUUUUCUGUGUUUUUUUUUAAAAUCAUAAUAUGCGAAAGUCCACACUUGUAUUUAAAAUAAUUAUUGUCAAAUUGUAAAAUUGCAAGAGACAUACCUGUGAUACUGAAAUAACAUUCUAGUAGGUUUAAACAACCAGGAAUAUGUAAUCUAUGUCUUUCUAUCAAUCAACACUUAUUAGAGUCAAACGUCAUGGUCAUAACUCAUAUUCGCCAUUAAAAUGUUGUCGUAUUUACUUAUUCCCUUCUAAGAGGACACAUUUUAUCUGCAAAUAUAUGUUAUCAUCUGAACACCAUUGAGCACUAUGUCUACUUUCCUCACACUUUGAAUGGUCAUAAUCUUUAAACUGCCUUAAAGUCAUCCAAUGGCAAUGACCAAUCAGCUGUCAUUUAAGUCCAUGCAUAUUUCGAUUGUUCAAAUAAUCCUGACAACAUGGCGCUCAGGGGUUGGUGGGGAUUAAUGUUUGACAAACAUCUCUUGUUAUAAAAUGUUUAUAUUUUUAUUGGAAAUAUUACCAACAUUUGCGAAUAUUGCAUGUUUUAGAAAUGUUUAGAACAAUUUUAGUCAUACUUAAGAUUAUUCUGGGAAUAUUACAAACAUGCUGUAAAACCUGCUGUUAAUUUUAAUACUAUGCAAUGAAGAUUUUGGUAAUAUUUCCAGAAUGUUUCAUGUCCUACAGCAGCCCACGUGGAGCUUUUUCUUUUGGAUUAUUUUAUUUCAAUUCAUCUUUUGAUAUGCCCAAAAAAGUCUUGGUAAUGUUUCCAAAUAUUUCAAGAUAAUAUAAUUGUAUUCAGGAUGAAUUUGAGAACGAUAACGGAAAAUGUUCGUAAUUCAUUUUGGGAAUAUUACCAAAUAUUUGUGACAAUUCUAGUUUAAGAAUGAUAUAGAAAAUCUCUCGGCAUAAUAUGGAUUAUUUUGGGAAUGUUCUCAAAAAUGUUGAAAAGCCCCAGUUUUCAAUACUAUACUAUGAACUGUUUGGUCUUACAUAAACUAUUUGUGGAGUUUUCAAAGGCUUUUUGUUGAAUUAGUUUGUUUUUAGUUCAUCUGGUAAUAUUCUCAAAUAAUUUUGGUAAUGUUACCAAAUAUCACGAUCAAAUUGGUAUUAUUCCCAGAAAACCUGGACAUUUUAUUCAGAAUCCUAGCAGAAAAUGUUCAUCAUUUAUUUUGGGAAUAUUACCAAAUAUUUGUGACUUUUCAUAGUUGAAGAAUAUUUUUGGAAAUUUCUCGGCAUAAUAUCGAUAGUUUUGGGAAUGUUCCCAAAAAUGUUAAAACCCCCACUAUAACUUUAAAUACUAUACUUUGAAAUGUUUGGUAAUAUUCCCGAAAGGUUUUGGUAAUGUUACCAGAAAUUUCAAGAUUAACUUUGGUAAUAUUCCCAGAAAACCUGGACAUUAUUUCCAAGACAAAUUUUAAAUGUUAGCCGAAAAUGUUCAUAAUUCAGAAAAAUUACCAAAUAUUUGUGACAACCCCUAGUUUUUAUUAAUUUUAGAAAACCUCUCAACAUACUAUGGAUACUUUUGGGAAUAUUACCAGAAAUGUUGAAAACCACACCAUAACUCUUCGAUACUAUAUUACAAAGUGUUUGGAAAUAUUUUCAAAUUGUUUUGGUAAUGUUACCAACUUUUCAAGAUCAAAUUGGAAAUAUUCCCAGAAAACCUGAACAUUAAACUCAGAAUAAUAGCAGAAAAUGUUCAUCACUUAUUUUGGGGAAUAUUACCAAAUAUUUGUGACUUUUCAUCGUUGAAGAAUAUUUUAGAAAAUCUCUCGGCAUAGUAUUGAUUAUUUUGGGAAUGUUCCCACAAAUGUUGAAGUUGGGAAUGUUCCCAAAAAUUCAGAUUCCUAGCAGAAAAUGUUCAUCAUUUUUUUGGGAAUAUUACCAAAUAUUUGUGACUUUUCAUAGUUGAAGAAUAUUUUAGAAAAUCUCUCGGCAUAGUAUGGAUUAUUUUGGGAAUGUUCCCACAGAUGUUAAAAAGCCCACCACAACUUUCAAUACUAUUCUACAAAGUGUUUGGAAAUAUUUUCAAAAUGUUUUGGUAAUGUUACCAAAUUUUCAAGAUCAAAUUGGUAAUAUUCCCAGAAAACCUGAACAUUAUAUUCAGAAUCCUAGCAGAAAAUGUUCAAAAUUUUUUGGGAAUAUUACCAAAUAUUUGUGACUUUUCAUAGUUGAAGAAUAUUUUAGAAAAUCUCUCGGCAUAGUAUCGAUUAUUUUGGGAAUGUUCCCACAAAUGUUAAAACCCCCACCACAACUUUCAAUACUAUACUACAAAGUGUUUGGAAAUAUUUUCAAAAUGUUUUGGUAAUGUUACCAAAUUUUCAAGAUCAAAUUGGUAAUAUUCCCAGAAAACCUGGCAUACUAUGGAUACUUUUGGGAAUAUUACCAGAAAUGUUGAAAACCACACUAUAACUCUUCAAUACUAUACUAUGAAGUGUUUGGUAAUAUUCCCAAAGAUAUUUCUAAUCCUACAGAAAUGCUUUGAGGACAUUACAAAGGGUUUCUGUUGAAUAAAAAUGUUACCAUGCUGAAAAGGGAAAGUUGCGUUUUCCCUUUUCAUUUUGCGGUUUGUUUAAGGUUUUCUUAAAUGAAAUUAAGUAUUUUAUUAACAAUUCUGGAAAGAAAUGAUGAGCUAUUGGUGUAAAUAUAGUAAUGAAUUAAUGUCCAUAACGGGAAAAGAAACAUUUCUUCUUGUUUACAUUUCUUCUUGUUUUGAACAUGUUGUUUACAUGGGACAGUUUUUUUAAGAAGACACACUGAUGUAAUGUAUUUACGGUAAAUGUCAACUGAUGGAAAUUUUAGUUUUCUCUGAAAUAUCUCAAAGCAGGGAAAGAUCAAUAACAAAGCAAUGUGAAGUCUCGUAAAUAAAGUAGAUCCUAUUAUACUUAAUGAAAGUAAAAUGAUGGUGACAAACGGUACCAACUGGAGAAACAUUUUCUCAGAAUAUACAUUUUUAAUGAUCACCUAGACAAAUAAAACGCUAUGUGGAUGUCUGUGGCCCAGCUUAACGAUCACCUAGCUUGAGAUGUGCCACAUACCAAUAACAGAGCAGAGCUUCACAAUCAAAACUUUGACAUCCAAAUGUUUGGUUAAAAUCUGUAUUAUAGAAACAAUAGAGGGCUUAACUCAGAACAAUGCCAUUUUUCACUGGCAUAUUUCACUGGCAUUUUUCUCUUUCUUUGGAAUAUACUUUCAACGGGUAGUCGAAGGCGACGUUUAAUUUGAGAUCAUUGAUCCAGAUAAUUAUAAUAUCAAAACCUAAAUACUUAACAAGUCUGUUGUAAAUGAACAAAAAAUUCAAUGUAUGCAUGCAUCUAGAUUUGUUCCCACAUGAAGGAACACAGUACAUGGGUCCAAUAAAUAAUGAAGGGUAGUAAAUACCUACAUUGAAAACAGAAACACUCCGGAGUGUUUGUACUUUACCAAGACAACUUAAACAAAUGACCUAUUAUUGGGAUGCAUUUCAUUAUUUAGUUAAAAAAAACAAAACUAUCUUUAUA
Long non-coding RNA from Mya arenaria, 5486 nucleotides. RefSeq lists it as uncharacterized. The transcript has 3 exons. The record is from RefSeq and is a predicted model, not a curated record. NCBI's taxonomy places the organism in Eukaryota, Metazoa, Mollusca, Bivalvia, Myida, Myidae.